RNAcentral lists this transfer RNA (77 nucleotides) under Nitrospirota bacterium. RNAcentral's name for it is "Nitrospirae bacterium (groundwater metagenome) tRNA-Ile". It matches the Rfam family "tRNA". From Rfam's summary of the family: Transfer RNA (tRNA) molecules are approximately 80 nucleotides in length. Their secondary structure includes four short double-helical elements and three loops (D, anti-codon, and T loops). Lineage: Bacteria; Pseudomonadati; Nitrospirota. The record is from RNAcentral.
GGGCCUAUAGCUCAGUUGGUUAGAGCGCACGCCUGAUAAGCGUGAGGUCAGUGGUUCGAGUCCACUUAGGCCCACCA